Molecule: long non-coding RNA, 2390 nt
Organism: Gasterosteus aculeatus aculeatus (three-spined stickleback)
Lineage: Eukaryota; Metazoa; Chordata; Actinopteri; Perciformes; Gasterosteidae
Source: Ensembl
UUGACAGGCAGGGAGCCUUUAACUAGUAAUUCGGUUCAUAUUCGUCUGUUAUAAAGGGGGAUAAAUUAGAAACCUUUGCAACUGUAGGAUUGAGCAAUGGUUGAUCAAGUAGGCAACAAUAAGCCCAAAGGGGGGAAAAAAGGCUGUCAGGUGGUGCAAUAAAAUUACCAGAUUGAUUUCAGCAUUAUGUUAAACAUUUCAAACCACAUCUCUGGCUUAACAGGAUACAUGCAUGGCUCAUCACUAUCAGAUUCAAUGGAACAUUUGGAUUACUGAGAUUUUAACUUGCCCAUAACCCAUAUUUUGUACCUCAAUGUGGCACUCCGUUACAUAUGUGCAGCACGUCCGUUGAGAGAAUCAGCCUCAACUAAAUUGGUCCUCUACUGUUAAUGUAGAGUUUACUACAAACUAGAAUUUAUUGGAUACUAUACAUGUAGGUCAAGGUUUAAUUUGUCAACUUCGUAAUCAUAUUGAAAUAUAAAAUGUGUAAACCUUUAUGAAGACAGCAAGGACAGUUAUUUGAACGCAAUCCAACAUUGGCCCAAAAAUCCUUUUAACUAGCAGAGCCUCCACUUGUCCCUCGUUGUCUGACCAACGUGUCCAUCAGCGCAUGUGAGCGGCACCAGUGCUGUAAUGUAUGAAGUUCUUCGGUGCCGUACAGUGUUCUUGUUGAGUAAGUGAAAGUUAAACGUCUGGUCUCUGCAUUGUCAAAGGCGAGUGGCCUUAACAGUCUAAUGCAGAACUCACCAAAACAUUGAGCCAACAGCACAUCAACUAACAUCAUUGCACUAAACCCAACGUGAGAAAGACCAGGGAAGCCAUUACAAGAAUGUUUUUUAUAUUUAGAAGCGGAAUAACAGCAACUGUACACAGAAAUGCUACAUUUGUUUUCCUUCAGCAGAUGAACUCUCCAACUCUGAUGAAAUCUGCAAACAAAUAAAAUAAUCAAUUUUUUACUGUAAAAAAUAAGCCAUCAGCCUGUUGGAAUACUGCAUGCUCACCUGCGUCAAAGUUCUGCUUAUGGACACUUUUAGUUCUCCGGUUCAACACAGCAGAAGACCAUGAAACGGCUCAUUGAACCCAGCUGGAAGCUGUGCACUGAAAAAUUAUGAAAAAACAUUCAGGAUAACAUACCAAUGGCGUAAGUGGACUCAACGGCAGCUCAAGGCCUCAGAUUUGACUGGAAUCUGUUCCUGUGCAGCAAAAAAACAGGAUUAAAGAGUGAAGAGACAACUGAGCAGCAAGCUGAGAACAUCAUCCGUCUGGAAGCACAAGACAGUAAAUGUCGGAGGUUUACCUAUAACCAGGCCAUAAAGAGUCACGGCCGGGCCUCAAACAGCCUCACGUCUCUCUAGCAGACACUACAGGAAAGGACGGAGCCACGGCAGGCUGAGCCUCGCUGGAAAGAUGGAGGUUUCCUGUCCACGUGUCUGAGGUUUUCCUAUAACCCUGCAGCGAGGGGCCACAGCAGGGCCUCAAACAGCCUCACGUCUCUCUAGCAGACACUACAGGAAAGGACAGAGCCACGGCAGGCUGAGCCUCGCUGGAAAGGUCUGCACGCACCCAAUGCACCGUCACCACCAGACUCGUUCCUUCACUGCACGGGGUCCCCUCACUGGACUCCAUCACGCUCAUGACUACAAGAGCGAGGGGCCACAGCAGGGCCUCAAACAGCCUCACGUCUCUCUAGCAGACACUACAGGAAAGGACAGAGCCACGGCAGGCUGAGCCUCGCUGGAAAGGUCUGCACGGACUAACUACGUCACACAGGACGGACCUCACUGGAUGAGGUCCACACAGACCUCACUGGAUGAGGUCCACACAGACUACAUCGCGCGAGGGCUCAUAACCGCAGCGAGUGAGCGCACGUGCUCCGCUCAUGACAGGCAUAAAUAACUUACUGAACGAGUCAAAUAUGACAUUAAAUAAGCUCUAUAGUACAUGUAUAUACAGGUCAGUAAAUUAAUAUAUAAACUAAAUACCAGCUGUGUAAAAACGACAGAGCGCUGUAGAGCGGACAGACGUCACUUUGGUCUUUUAACUGACUGUUUCCUCAACAACAGUUUAAUUUCAUUACAACUUUAAACUUCAAAUAGUUUCACGAUGUCAGAAUCCGAUGGCAUUUAACAUUACGGUUGGAUGGAGACGGAUCUUUUUUUUCGCUUACGUUACCUUUCACGUGGUGCUCCGACUGCUCAACAGACCUAGCUGCCCGGAUGUGACGUCAUUUAUACUAUGCGUGACGUCUCCUUCUUCUUCUUCUUCUUCUUCUUCUUCUUCUUUGGCAUUUAAUGGCAGUUGGAAAACCGCUCGUGGUGCAUUAGCGCCACCCACUAAUCUGGAGUUUGGAUUUACGUUGGAUGUAAAAUAAAAUAAGCACCCAAACAAAA